RNAcentral lists this ribosomal RNA (301 nucleotides) under uncultured bacterium. RNAcentral's name for it is "partial 16S ribosomal RNA". It matches the Rfam family "Bacterial small subunit ribosomal RNA", at positions 509 to 807 of the family's 1533-position model. The record is from RNAcentral.
CAGUCGCCGCGGGAAUACGUAGGUGGCGAGCGUUGUCCGGAUUUAUUGGGCGUAAAGGGAGUGUAGGCGGUCUUCUAAGUCUGAUGUGAAAGCCCACGGCUCAACCGUGGAGGGUCAUUGGAAACUGGGAGACUUGAGUGCAGAAGAGGAGAGCGGAAUUCCAUGUGUAGCGGUGAAAUGCGUAGAUAUAUGGAGGAACACCAGUGGCGAAGGCGGCUCUCCGGUCUGUAACUGACGCUGAGGCUCGAAAGCGUGGGGAGCAAACAGGAUUAGAUACCCCGGUAGUCCCUGUCUCUUAUAC